Molecule: ribosomal RNA, 203 nt
Filed under: uncultured Actinomycetales bacterium
Lineage: Bacteria; Bacillati; Actinomycetota; Actinomycetes; Actinomycetales
Description: partial 16S ribosomal RNA
Rfam family: Bacterial small subunit ribosomal RNA
Source: RNAcentral
CGCCUGCACUUCGGGAUAAGCUUGGGAAACUGGGUCUAAUACCGGAUAGGACCGCACUUUAGUGUGUGUGGUGGAAAGUUUUUUCGGUGUAGGAUGAGCUCGCGGCCUAUCAGCUUGUUGGUGGGGUAAUGGCCUACCAAGGCGGCGACGGGUAGCCGGCCUGAGAGGGUGUACGGCCACAUUGGGACUGAGAUACGGCCCAG